CCUACGGGAGGCAGCAGUGAGGAAUAUUGGUCAAUGGGCGCGAGCCUGAACCAGCCAAGUAGCGUGAAGGAUGACUGCCCUACGGGUUGUAAACUUCUUUUAUAAAGGAAUAAAGUGAUGCACGUUUUCCUUUUUUUAUUUAUUUUAUUAAUAAUUAUCUUCUAACUCCUUUCCAUCAUCCUCUUUAAUACUGAUUAUCCGAUCUUUAUCCUUAUUUAUUUUUUUUAAAGUUAGAGUAGAUGGGUUGUUAAGUUAGUUGUGAAAGUUUGCGGCGCAACGGGAAAAGGUCAAGGGAUACUUUCAGCCGGGAGAACAGGGGAGGGAGGCGGAAGGCGGGGGGGAGCGGGGAAAGGCUUAGAGAGCACGAAGAACUCAGAUUGCGAAGGAAGCAGACUAAGCGGCCACGGACAGGGAGGCUCGAAAGGGGGGGUAGCAAACAGGAUUAGAGACCCGGGGAGGC
RNAcentral lists this ribosomal RNA (460 nucleotides) under uncultured bacterium. RNAcentral's name for it is "partial 16S ribosomal RNA". It matches the Rfam family "Bacterial small subunit ribosomal RNA", at positions 338 to 795 of the family's 1533-position model. The record is from RNAcentral.